Pelobates cultripes (western spadefoot toad) is the source of this 1015-nucleotide non-coding RNA. Lineage: Eukaryota; Metazoa; Chordata; Amphibia; Anura; Pelobatidae. The record is from the annotation of a GenBank genome assembly.
UAGGGAGCAAGAUGGGUGUCUUCCUUGAAUGCCAAGAGGUUGUUCAAGGCGAUCCUUUACAUCCUAAAGUAGUAACUCUGGUCAGGAGGCUGAAGGAUCAGCUUAAAAUUCGCCUACGUAAGCCAAUUGAUAAUUCUCCUGAACUGAUGCUAGCUUGCCUGUGUUAUCCAAGGAUUAAGGGAAAGCUUGCACUCACCUCCAAUAGCUUAACAAAUUGGAGGGAGAAACUGAUCCAGAGGGUGUGUGACUGGUAGCAAAAAAGGGGAAUGCUGUCUGAGGGAGUAGUUCAGCAGGAGGCUGAGAUGUCGGCUACUUCUAGCAGAAGCAUUGGCAGUGGCACUACCACCACAAAACUGAGUGAAGCAGCUGCACUUUAGGAAGAGUUGCUUGAGGAUAUAGUUGGACCCACUGAGAGUGCUAGCAGCAGACAGGAGAGUACUGCCUCAGAAAUAGUCAAAGCGUACCUCUCUGAACCUCCUUUGCCCCAUAAUGUCGACCCUCUUAGCUAUUGGGAUGAGAAGAGUGUGUGGCCUGCACUCUCAUUGGUUGCACAGAAGCUGCAAUCAUGUCCACCAACCACCAUCCCAAGUGAGCGUGUGUAUUCGGUAACCGGUAGUAUAUUGAAUCCACAGCGCUCACAAAUGUCACCUCAUCUCAUGGAGCAGAUUGCCUUUCUUAAAUUCAAUCUGCCCCGUUGUACUGCAAAUCCUUUUCACUUAGAAAUCUAUUAAGUGGUAGAGCAGCUGGUACUUAGUGGAUCCAUAUAGUCCACGAGCACAUUACUGCCAUGGGUAUAGAAUUUACUUACCAUAGAUGUAAACUGUGACAGACCAUAUAAUCGAUCACCAAGUUACUGGAUCGGUGCUCUGUCACUAAAACUUAGAAUAUUAUCUACCAUCUAUUACUGACAGAAGCAGUUUUACAUAUUGGGCUACAUUUAUCAGAUAGAUUGAUACUGACACUUUGUUUUUACUUACCUAAUUUUAGAUCCACGGUUUUGGUGUUUACACUUUAG